UUAUCUUGUCUUCCUUUCUGAAUCUUACUAUUUCUGUUCAUGGUGAAAUUUCCAAAAAUAUCAAACCAUUUACCUUACACACUCGAUUAGUGGCAUAUCCAUCUGUUAGUCUCUUUUGCCAUUCCUGGUUACUUCAGGUUAACUUAAUCACAUGAAUACUUUGAGGAGACUCAUCCAUAGUCUCAGGGUCUACUAAAACUCUUUCUUGAUCGAAUCUUUCUCUAUUCAGAAGCAUUUCAUUCACACGACACGCUUCAGGGACCCUAUGGCGUUACUUCGGAAACUGCACAACCAACAUACUUAAGAAACUCAGCAGUUCCGUAACCCAAUUCUUCUUUCCAUAAAACAAAUAAGUACCGUUGCUUUGUCUGGGAAAAAGUUAUUACUCAGCACUGGAGUAAUUGUACUAACUUGGUACAUUGACCAACUAUCACUUCAACUUCAAUCAUAACCAUCCUAUGUACAAGGAAACUUGUACACAUAAUCCAAAGUAAUAUCUUUCCAUUUCCACUGCGAAACAGAAAAUAGUUAUCUCAAUCCAAAGGUUUAUCUCUUUCUGCCUCAAUCUGCUGACCAAUAAAAAUGUCGAAUGGUAUGAUAAACCUUAUUACUUUCGGAAUAUUGCAGAAGCUGAACAGUGUACUUCGUCCAAAAUUGCUUGUAUUCACAUACCAUUUGAUUCACUAAUCAUGUACUCAUUCUUUUUCCUUUCUUUCUCUGCCUUGGUUAAUUCUUAAAUUUCCUCGUCAAACAUUUAAGUUUCGAGUACGACCUUACCACACAGGCCUAACUUGAAAAUUAACAAGUAUAACUUCUUCUCGAUCUUUCAUUCUUAACUUUUCUUCCGUUGGUUUUCAAUCCACAAGAUGAUACUCUUGGCAACGUGCCAGACAUUAAUCUUACUGCAAUCUUUUCACCAAGUGUAUCAGCUAGAACAAUUUUACGAUCACCCUGGUCGUACAAUCAUAUACAUUAAACAAUUCAAUUUACCUUCGCUACCUCAGAUAAAAUCCUUCCGAGUAAUAGAUAUUGAAGACUUUUUGGAUUCGUAAAAAUCUUGCAUUCUUACCAAAUAUAAUGCCUUCAUAACUUCACAGCAAGAAUGGUAAUCAUGACUUCCAAGUCACCCGUAGGGUAAUUCAUCUCAUGAGGUUCCAUUUAUCGUGAAAUGUAUGCAAUCACCCUAACAUUUGCAUCAACAUGCCUCCAAUACCAUUCAAGAAACAUCACUAAAAAUUUAUGAUUACCACUAUUCUCUGGGAAUACCAAAAUACGUGCAUGAGUGAGGAAAUACUUCAGUUGUUGAAUCCUUUGCUCACAAUUUCCUUCCCACUCAUGCAUAACCUCUUUUCUCAACAGUCUCGUCAAUGACAAAGCAAUGACUAAAAACUCUUUCACAACCAUCCCAAGAUAGCCUGGUAAGUUAAGAAAUUCCAAAUCUCAAUUACGACUCGUGGUUGUUCCAAUUCCUCAAUUUCUGCUAUCUUUUAAGGAUUCACUUGAAUACCUUAAGCAGAUAUAACAAAUCUUAGAAUGCCACUUGAUUCAUUUAACUUUAGCCUUUGCUAAACUUAGCAUACAACCAACGUUCUCUCAAUCUUUGCUUCAUCGACUUAAUACGUUUACAUGCUCUGCUCUGGCUCAGAAUAUGCCAGAAUAUCUUCAAUGAAAAUGAUAUCAAUUUAUCAAGGCAUUAUUGGAAUACUUCAUCCAUCAACUCAUAAAACAGCAUGAGUAUCCACAUAGCAACACCAAACUUCAUAAGGACCAUAACAAGUCCAGAAAACCAUCUUAUGAUCAACGUCACUUAUAAUAUUCAAUUGGUAGUAACCAGAUCUCAAUUCAAUCUUUGAAUCUUCGCAAUUACUUCUGAGCUGGUUAAAUAAACAUCAGUACAUCACCAUGGAUAACGGUUCUCAAUCGUUACCCGACUCCAUUGUCUAUAAUCAAUGAACAGUCUCAAGAUCCAUUUUCUUCCUCACCAACAAACUGGGGCUCCUCAAAAGUGUUGUACUAGGUUGAAUAAAACUUUUAUCAACCAAUUCUUUCAACUGAAUUUCCAAUUCCCUUAACUCAUCAUGAACCAAUCUUUAACAUAAAUUUAUACCUGGCAACAAAUCAAUAGUGAACCUCAUAUCUCUGCCUGAAGGCAAUCCAGGUAUACUUUCAAGGAAGACAUCAAGAAAGUCUAACCCCUUUUUCAUUUUUCACACUUCUCCGAGCAAUAUCAUUUAGUACCACAGGAACUAAGUAUUUUUGGGCAGCCUUUCAAAACAAUCUCUUUGCUUUCACAGCAUAAAUAAUGGCUGAACUCACUUCACUUUGCAUGCCCACUCAUUAAGGUAACCUCUGAUUAAUCAACUCGAUGGAAAGUAACUGGUUUCCCGUAACAUUCCAUCUAGUCACAACUAUAAACAAUCACUCUAAUGGAAUAAAAUUAAUUGACCCAAUACAUACUUUAUUACUACUAAGCAUUCUGAAUAAGUACAAUACUAACAUAAAAUAAUCUACCAGUUUACUUACUUAACGAAUCCACGAAUGAGUUAUUAAUAUUACGGUCUGCAGCCCGCAAUACUGAUAAAUCAUCGUUGUCUCGAUAAGUAGGCAACCACUCUCAAAGAUAUAACAUUACUAUUUUGUCACUCAAUGCAAAAUACAUACACUCGUCUCAACUACAUUUAUUUACUACUCUCUAGGUAAAAACAUACAUAAUAAGAAAUAUAUCAGCCGAAGUCAACUAGAAUGACCAAUACGGCUGAUUCAACUCUUAUCUCAAUAAUACGUCGGCCGGAUCCACUUCGCGUGGUCGGUACGGCCGAGCCUAUAACUCACCAAUUUCUCAUGCGUCAGCCAGAUCCACCUCCCGUGGCCUGUACGGCUGAACAUAUAACUCAUCAAAUCUCUAUGUACCCACGGUCAAUCCAACCAAACUACUAAGUCCAUAAACCUGCUGAAUCGAUACUACGAUGUCAUAGAAAACUGUUGGGUACAACUGAUUCUAGGGACGAUUCACAAUUCUGUGUCCCCUCUGUUCACAUAAACACAGUAAUUAAUUUCACACUUCAAAGUGUUAAUUUUGUACCUGUUGCACAAAGUACAUUUCCUUUACUCGAGACACCUUGUCUCAAAUAUCUGGGAUUACCAGUAUAUCCAUCACUUUUACUCUGACCAGUGACAUUAAAACCUCAGCUAGAAGAAUUAACUCUAGCUUCACUUCUUUCGAAGCUCUGAAUCUUUCUAUAUCCUUGAUAUGACGAAUCAUUAACUUUAUCGUCUUUUUUUUUAUUCCCAUUCUUUUCUUAUUCCUCUUUACUCUCGUUGAUCAUGUUCUCAGAGUCCUCAAGGCUCAACAACAUCUCGUAUAUUCCUGGUAAGAAGUAUAAUGGAUAGUGGUCACCCAAAAUACCACUUCCCUUUUUGCCACCCAGCUUAAAACAACAUAACACCUCAACCAAAUUAACAGUAAUAUCUGGAUGGAACGAGGCAAUUCUGAAAACUUUCUAUAAUAUCCCUCGAUCAUCACCUUCCUUGUCUCAUAAUUGUAAACUCUUGUUUACUACCAUCGAUAAAUGUCGGAGGGAUAAACUUUUCCUUAAACAAGUCCUUAAACAAUUCUCAAUCGACUGUUCCUCCGGUGACAACAAAUCAUACUCCUAUUUCCACCAGGAUACAAAUUCAUAACCAAAACCAGGUAGUCGUCUCGACCCCUUGUCAGAAGGAAAUUUCCUUUGACUUGCAUAA
Molecule: long non-coding RNA, 3741 nt
Filed under: Malus domestica (apple)
Lineage: Eukaryota; Viridiplantae; Streptophyta; Magnoliopsida; Rosales; Rosaceae
Description: long non-coding RNA (MDOM_LNC018169)
Source: RNAcentral